CGCACCUUGCGCUCCUUGGUAUUCCGAGGAGCAUGCCUGUUUGAGUGUCAUGGUAUCAUCAACCUACACCACUUUUGUGUCUGUAGGCUUGGACUUGGAGGUCGUGUCGGCGUUCGCGUCGGCUCCUCUGAAAUGCAUUAGCGUGAAUCUUUACGAAUCGCCCUCGGUGUGAUAAUUUCUACGCCGUAGACGUGCAGUAUUACAGUGUUCGUGCUUACAAUCGUCCGCGAGGACAACAUCAUCAUUUGACAAUCUGACCUCAAAUCAGGUAGGACUACCCGCUGAACUUAA
Molecule: unclassified non-coding RNA, 291 nt
Filed under: Phlebia acerina
Lineage: Eukaryota; Fungi; Basidiomycota; Agaricomycetes; Polyporales; Meruliaceae
Description: partial contains 5.8S ribosomal RNA, internal transcribed spacer 2, and large subunit ribosomal RNA
Source: RNAcentral